RNAcentral lists this ribosomal RNA (254 nucleotides) under uncultured bacterium. Its description in RNAcentral is "partial 16S ribosomal RNA". It matches the Rfam family "Bacterial small subunit ribosomal RNA", at positions 524 to 776 of the family's 1533-position model. The record is from RNAcentral.
UACGGGGGGAGCAAGCGUUGUUCGGAUUUACUGGGCGUAAAGGGCGCGUAGGCGGUCAGCACAAGUCAGUUGUGAAAUCUCCGGGCUUAACUCGGAAAGGUCAACUGAUACUGUGCGACUAGAGUGCGGAAGGGGCAACUGGAAUUCUCGGUGUAGCGGUGAAAUGCGUAGAUAUCGAGAGGAACACCUGCGGCGAAGGCGGGUUGCUGGGCUGACACUGACGCUGAACUGCGAAAGCUAGGGGAGCGAACGGG